UACAGAGGGGGCAAGCGUUGUUCGGAAUUACUGGGCGUAAAGGGCGCGUAGGCGGCCUUCUAAGUCGAACGUGAAAUCCCCGGGCUUAACCCGGGAACUGCGUCCGAUACUGGAAGGCUUGAAUCCGGGAGAGGGAUGCGGAAUUCCAGGUGUAGCGGUGAAAUGCGUAGAUAUCAGGAGGAACACCGGUGGCGAAGGCGGGUCUCUGGGACGGUACUGACGCUGAGACGCGAAAGCGUGGGGAGCGAACAGG
Molecule: ribosomal RNA, 253 nt
Filed under: uncultured bacterium
Lineage: Bacteria
Description: partial 16S ribosomal RNA
Rfam family: Bacterial small subunit ribosomal RNA
Source: RNAcentral